This 70-nucleotide transfer RNA is filed under the name Marmota monax (woodchuck). Its description in RNAcentral is "tRNA.Ala". Lineage: Eukaryota; Metazoa; Chordata; Mammalia; Rodentia; Sciuridae. The record is from RNAcentral.
CAGGGUGUGGCUCAGUGGUGGAGCACUUGCCUGGCGUGUACAGGUCCUGGGUUCCAUCCCAGCACUGUAG